Molecule: ribosomal RNA, 373 nt
Filed under: uncultured eukaryote
Lineage: Eukaryota
Description: partial 18S ribosomal RNA
Rfam family: Eukaryotic small subunit ribosomal RNA
Source: RNAcentral
CAAUAGCGUAUAUUAAAGUUGUUGCAGUUAAAAAGCUCGUAGUUGAAUUUUUGCUUGCCGCCGGUGUCGGAACUUCCGUACGUUCGGCGGCGUGCAUCCUUGGGUGGAACCUGUGUGGCAUUAGGUUGUCGUGCAGGGGAUGCUCAUCGUUUACUGUGAAAAAAUUAGAGUGUUCAAAGCAGGCUUACGCCGUUGAAUAUAUUAGCAUGGAAUAAUAAGAUAGGACCUUGGUACUAUUUUGUUGGUUUGCGCACCGAGGUAAUGAUUAACAGGGACAGUUGGGGGUAUUCGUAUUCCAUUGUCAGAGGUGAAAUUCUUGGAUUUCUGGAAGACGAACUACUGCGAAAGCAUUUACCAAGGAUGUUUUCAUUAA